CGUCUAGAAGCAAACAGAUGGAGCUGCAAUGCAGCACCUAGGAUUCAAUCCAGUGGCAAUAACCGUUUCAUUCCUGAUCGCAUGACAGGCUUGAGGUUGCUUGAAUUGCUGCCGGGUGCACUUCCUAUGUGUGAGCGCUGCGACCAGUUACUGCGUCGCCAAAGCCAGUGAACUGCCGGCUGUUUCUUUCGGGAAGCAGAGUCCCAUUUGCUGUGCUUGGUUGGUUGUGGUGACUGUGGACCGAACGCAACCGCUUGUCGCAUUCUGCGUUGCACCUUUUGAGAUCGAAAUUCUGGGCCCUGCUUGCAGGACCUGGUACCCCUCUUUCUAGAUGUAGCGUUGCUUUGCGUUGUUGCGCAGGGUCGGCGGCGUCCGUGUCAGCCACCCAUCUGACCCGUCUUGAAACACGGACCAAGGAGUCUAACAUGUACGCAAGUCACUGACUUACACAGUCAAAGGCGCAAUGAAAGUAAAGGCCACUUGUGGUUAAAGUGGGAUCCUCGUACUGUACGAGGCGCACCACUGCCCCGUUCUAUAUGCUUCGUCAUUGGGGCGGAGGAAGAGCGCACAUGUUGGGACCCGAAAGAUGGUGAACUAUGCCUGAGCAAGGCGAAGUCAGGAGAAAUCCUGAUGGAGGCCUGUAGCGGUUCUGACGUGCAAAUCG
Molecule: ribosomal RNA, 664 nt
Filed under: Litinium sp. TCR90
Lineage: Eukaryota; Metazoa; Nematoda; Enoplea; Enoplida; Oxystominidae
Description: eukaryotic LSU rRNA
Rfam family: Eukaryotic large subunit ribosomal RNA
Source: RNAcentral